CGGCGCCGGGUCCUCUCCGAAAACAUAUCGAAGGAAGUGCAAAUGAGAUCUUGAGCACAGGUGAAAUACUAUUACGAAAGAAGGAAUCCAGUCAUAUUUUAAUCAACCUACGUGGCCCCCAAUAGGUGGUUUUAUUGCUGGAGUUAUAACUACAGUGGUGGUCAUGCGGCGACUGUCAUGAAGGAGUGAGGGAAGGCUUUGCAGACUUCAAUCACUUUGUAGUCCGUGAACCAGAAACUUGGCAUUUCCCAAUCACCUUUUUAGGAUUGGUAUUUCUUGCAGCUGGCCUUGUUUGUUUGAAACUGCAGCA
Polypterus senegalus (gray bichir) is the source of this 310-nucleotide long non-coding RNA. RefSeq lists it as uncharacterized. The transcript has 4 exons. The record is from RefSeq and is a predicted model, not a curated record. NCBI's taxonomy places the organism in Eukaryota, Metazoa, Chordata, Cladistia, Polypteriformes, Polypteridae.